Molecule: ribosomal RNA, 39 nt
Filed under: Mesocricetus auratus (golden hamster)
Lineage: Eukaryota; Metazoa; Chordata; Mammalia; Rodentia; Cricetidae
Source: RNAcentral
UGAGUGUGGCCGAUCUCAUCUGAUCUUGGAAGCUAAGCA